This 251-nucleotide ribosomal RNA is filed under the name uncultured bacterium. RNAcentral's name for it is "partial 16S ribosomal RNA". It matches the Rfam family "Bacterial small subunit ribosomal RNA", at positions 526 to 779 of the family's 1533-position model. The record is from RNAcentral.
CGUAGGGUCCGAGCGUUGUCCGGAAUUAUUGGGCGUAAAGAGCUCGUAGGCGGCCUGUCGCGUCUGCUGUGAAGUCCGGGCUUAACUUCGGGUGUGCAGUGGAUACGGGCAGGCUUGAGGUAGGUAGGGAGACUGGAAUUCCUGGUGUAGCGGUGAAAUGCGCAGAUAUCAGGAGGAACACCGGUGGCGAAGGCGGGUCUCUGGGCCUUACCUGACGCUGAGGAGCGAAAGCGUGGGGAGCGAACAGGAUU